CCUACGGGAGGCAGCAGUGGGGAAUAUUGCACAAUGGGGGAAACCCUGAUGCAGCGACGCCGCGUGAGUGAAGAAGUAAUUCGUUACGUAAAGCUCUAUCAGCAGGGAAGAAAAUGACGGUACCUGAGUAAGAAGCCCCGGCUAACUACGUGCCAGCAGCCGCGGUAAUACGUAGGGGGCAAGCGUUAUCCGGAUUUACUGGGUGUAAAGGGAGCGUAGACGGUGCGCCAAGUCUGGAGGGAAAUGCCGAAGCUUAACUGCGGAACUGCUUUGGAAACUGACGAACGAGAGUGCGGGAGGGGUGAGCGGAAUUCCUGGGGUAGCGGUGAAAGGCGUAGAUAUUAGGGGGAACACCGGUGGCGAGGGCGGCUUACUGGACCGGAACGGACGUUGAGGCUCGAAAGCGUGGGGAGCAAACAGGAUUAGAUACCUGGUAGUC
Molecule: ribosomal RNA, 439 nt
Filed under: uncultured bacterium
Lineage: Bacteria
Description: partial 16S ribosomal RNA
Rfam family: Bacterial small subunit ribosomal RNA
Source: RNAcentral